RNAcentral lists this ribosomal RNA (253 nucleotides) under uncultured bacterium. RNAcentral describes it as "partial 16S ribosomal RNA". It matches the Rfam family "Bacterial small subunit ribosomal RNA", at positions 524 to 776 of the family's 1533-position model. The record is from RNAcentral.
UACGAAGGGGGCUAGCGUUGCUCGGAAUUACUGGGCGUAAAGCGCGUGUAGGCUGCUUCGCAAGUCGGAUGUGAAAGCCCUGGGCUCAACCCAGGAAGUGCAUUCGAAACUGCAGAGCUGGAGUCCUGGAGAGGAAGGCGGAAUUCUCGGUGUAGAGGUGAAAUUCGUAGAUAUCGAGAGGAACACCGGUGGCGAAGGCGGCCUUCUGGACAGUGACUGACGCUGAGACGCGAAAGCGUGGGGAGCAAACAGG